CCGGUCUGUGGACACCAGACAUGUUUCGCUACCGCCGCCCUGGGACGUUCUGUUCAGAUAGAUCCGUAAUUCCAAACAAAGCCUCCCCAGACCUCUGGAGAACAGCUUUCUCUGCCUCAGGUUCAAAACAGAAGAUUACUGAUGUUAAAACCGGUCUUCGGAAGAUGAAAGAGCGACGGCAGGCUGUAAGCUGGUGUCCUGCGGGGAUCAGAAAUGACAACCGACAAGCCGCAGGGCACCUCUUCCUCCUGGAAAAGCUGUGGCAUAAAGCAAUGCCGACGUCUGUGCCAGAAUGAAAGCGUCUGACGGCCACGCUGAGUCAAAGGUGUUUAUUGACUGUCCUUCAUCAUCAUGCUGGCCCCGGUUCCCCCUUUUCCCCCCCCCAGCUUGGGUUAUGAAUCUGAGCAGCUGGCCAGAAAAGAUCACCUGGUCGGACCUCAAAGAGCUGCUAAGGAAGUGAAACAUUUACGAGGAAGCAGGCAAAGAUGCCAGGCAGCUUUAAAAUGCUGGCACAUCUGCUGCAGG
This is a long non-coding RNA of Pogona vitticeps (central bearded dragon), 525 nucleotides long. RefSeq lists it as uncharacterized. NCBI's taxonomy places the organism in Eukaryota, Metazoa, Chordata, Lepidosauria, Squamata, Agamidae. The record is from RefSeq and is a predicted model, not a curated record.